This 80-nucleotide non-coding RNA is filed under the name uncultured Lachnospira sp. RNAcentral describes it as "Cyclic di-GMP-I riboswitch". It matches the Rfam family "c-di-GMP-I riboswitch aptamer", at positions 10 to 83 of the family's 87-position model. Rfam says of the family: GEMM was predicted in a large-scale screen for bacterial structured RNA regulatory elements. Genes associated with GEMM are involved in a diverse array of functions, including chemotaxis regulation, signal transduction, secretion and chitin. Lineage: Bacteria; Bacillati; Bacillota; Clostridia; Lachnospirales; Lachnospiraceae. The record is from RNAcentral.
GGGGCAAACUUAUAGAAAUAUAAGGACGCAAAACUUGGAGUCUAAAGCAUAUAAAAGAUAUGUUAUGAUAGUUCGGUCGC